AUAAACUGUCCGCUCUUGAUGCUUGGUAUGUGAGUGGCCCUUUGCAGUCUGCAAACUGCAUCCACACCUAUUACUCUCAGCCAUCCCAUGAGGUGCUUUAAAUUGUCCCAGUUUACAGAUGAGAUGAGAGAAGCUCAGUGAGACUAAGGCACACAGUUGAAGUCCCAUGGCGAGAACAUUGAUUUAUAAAAAGGAAAAGUGAGUCGUCCAAAAGUAAAUUCUUCAGGCUGGAGAUAUAACUCCAUCUGUUUCCUGUCAUAUGAAAAUGCAAUUCAAAUGCAGCCUCCUCAUUCAGGGCUCACCAGCACCCACUCCCUGGGGGGAUGCCCUCUCCCACUCAGAGCUGAGUGCUCAGUUGAAGAGAAGAAAUUUCUUCGAAAGAAACCAUCCUAUACAUCAUGCCACUUUGAGAGCUGGGAGAAACCAGAUGAACAUGCCUGACCCUGGCAUCCCAGUCUCAAUUAAUUAUGUAUAUACUCACUGAGACCCAAGCAAGACAGCACACAAUAGGGGUCACUAUCAAAAAUUCUGCAGCAGCUACAGUGAGCCUUCUUCUCAGCAGAGGACAGCAGAAAGCAUUUAGGAAGAGUAUGUGCUACUGACCUGUUUUUGUUAGUCCACAAUACUUAUGAACAAUUGCUUAGAGAUCUCCAUAGGAGGUGUUUUUCUUUUAGCAAUGUGGCCAGAACAUC
This is a long non-coding RNA of Eptesicus fuscus (big brown bat), 692 nucleotides long. RefSeq lists it as uncharacterized. NCBI's taxonomy places the organism in Eukaryota, Metazoa, Chordata, Mammalia, Chiroptera, Vespertilionidae. The transcript has 3 exons. The record is from RefSeq and is a predicted model, not a curated record.